GCCAACAGCCAUGUCACCCUGCAACUUACAAUUGGCAGCCCACAGGUGUGAGCCUGGUUAGUACCUGGAUGGGAGACCUCCUGGGAAAAACUAAGGUUGCUGCUGGAA
Molecule: ribosomal RNA, 108 nt
Filed under: Lepisosteus oculatus (spotted gar)
Lineage: Eukaryota; Metazoa; Chordata; Actinopteri; Semionotiformes; Lepisosteidae
Source: RNAcentral